Molecule: transfer RNA, 72 nt
Filed under: Danionella translucida
Lineage: Eukaryota; Metazoa; Chordata; Actinopteri; Cypriniformes; Danionidae
Also listed under: 1 other name
Rfam family: tRNA
About the family: Transfer RNA (tRNA) molecules are approximately 80 nucleotides in length. Their secondary structure includes four short double-helical elements and three loops (D, anti-codon, and T loops).
Source: Rfam by way of RNAcentral
GGCUCGUUGGUCUAGGGGUAUGAUUCUUGCUUCGGGUGCGAGAGGUCCCGGGUUCAAAUCCUGGGCGAGCCC